RNAcentral lists this small RNA (123 nucleotides) under Pseudorhizobium banfieldiae. RNAcentral's name for it is "Rhizobium sp. NT-26 Alphaproteobacterial sRNA ar35". It matches the Rfam family "Alphaproteobacterial sRNA ar35". The record is from Rfam by way of RNAcentral. Lineage: Bacteria; Pseudomonadati; Pseudomonadota; Alphaproteobacteria; Hyphomicrobiales; Rhizobiaceae.
AAGAGUUCUGCAGACAACCUGCAGGCCGCCUAAGGAAUUUCAUUGUCCCGCGUGACCACGGAUGUACUGGCACGCUUGAGGCGAUGAUGUGGAAGGUCGGGAGCAGUCCCGGCCUUUUGUUUU